RNAcentral lists this ribosomal RNA (492 nucleotides) under uncultured bacterium. Its description in RNAcentral is "partial 16S ribosomal RNA". It matches the Rfam family "Bacterial small subunit ribosomal RNA", at positions 29 to 507 of the family's 1533-position model. The record is from RNAcentral.
AGUGAACGCUGGCGGUAGGCCUAACACAUGCAAGUCGAACGGCAGCACAGUAAGAGCUCGCUCUUACGGGUGGCGAGUGGCGGACGGGUGAGGAAUACAUCGGAAUCUACUUUUUCGUGGGGGACAACGUAGGGAAACUUAUGCUAAUACCGCAUACGACCUACGGGUGAAAGCAGGGGAUCUUCGCACCUUGCGCGACUGAAUGAGCCGAUGUCGGAUUAGCUAGUUGGCGAGGUAAAGGCCCACCAAGGCGACGAUCCGUAGCUGGUCUGAGAGGAUGAUCAGCCACACUGGAACUGAGACACGGUCCAGACUCCUACGGGAGGCAGCAGUGGGGAAUAUUGGACAAUGGGCGCAAGCCUGAUCCAGCCAUGCCGCGUGGGUGAAGAAGGCCUUCGGGUUGUAAAGCCCUUUUGUUGGGGAAGAAAAGCAGCAGGUUAAUACCCCGCUGUUCUGACGGUACCCAAAGAGUAAGCACCGGCUAACUUCGUG